Panicum virgatum (switchgrass) is the source of this 4105-nucleotide RNA transcript. It is a transcript of the gene named translation initiation factor IF-2-like, with no coding region annotated. The transcript is spliced from 13 exons. Lineage: Eukaryota; Viridiplantae; Streptophyta; Magnoliopsida; Poales; Poaceae. The record is from RefSeq and is a predicted model, not a curated record.
UCUCUCUCUCUCUCUCUCUCUCUCUUUCUCUCUCUCUCUCUCUCUCUCACGGCGGCGACAUCUGCCCUCGCCCCUCUCGCUCGCCUAGCGGCGGCGCGACGCGGGGCCACGCGACGGCGGCGCCCGCACCAACGCGGCGGCGGAGGACCCCAUGGCCGCAGGCCCCCGGCGCCGCCCCCGGCCGGCGAGACCUCUCCCAUCUCCGCUCGGGCGUGGCGAGGCUGAGGCGCAACGGCCGGGCCUCGAACUCCUCUCUGCUCUCUGCUGUCCUAGGCCAUGGAGGUCGUGGUGGUGGUGUGGGCAGGCCCUGCGCUCGCAGCCGGCCUCCUUCCCCAUCACCUGAGAGCGCGGCGGUCGCAUCCCUCAUGGCGGGGCCAUGGCGGCGGGCCGGAUCUCUCGCGGCGGCGGCUGCUCCGUACCCUUCCUCUCCAUGGCGGAGACAUGCGCGGCACACGCGACUCCGGACGCUGCGCCGCGACUACAGCCAUCCUCGCCGCUCCCGACGGUCCGCGCGUGGGGAAUCCACGGCGGAGAUGGCAUCGGUCGUCACGGAAGGGGCCUGCUGCGGAUCCGCCGUCCCCUCCGCGGAUCCCCCAUGCGCGGCGCACGCGACUCCGGUUGCUGCGGCGGCUGCUGUCUCCUCCGCGGAUCCCCCAUGCGCGGCGCACGCGACUACCGCCAUCCCCGCCGCUCCCGAUAGCCCGUGCGCGACUCGCGCGGCGGGGGGCACGGGAGCAGCAGCGCAGGGACGACGGUGGACCCGCGGUGGCGCGCCCUUCCCCGCUGCGGAGGCGCUGAACUACCCAUCCCCUCCCUCGCCUCCCCUCCUUUUCCCCACCCUGCCUUCGGCGCUACAGGUCGCUGCGUCAGCGUCGAGCAGCGGCGGCAGUGAGCGCCAUACUUCCCCUCUCACGCCAGGCUCUCCCGACGGAGGGGCCGCGGCGGGAGGGUGACGCAGAUAUGCGGCUAGCCGGGCGGUGGCGUGAGAGGGGCCGUGCGGAUUACAUCAGGUCUCCAGGUGCUCGACCUCUCCUACAACCGCUUCGACGGGGGAUCCCCGGCUAGCUCUCCAACCUCACCCACCUCGUCGCGCUCAACCUCUCAACUACUCGCUCGCCGGCGCUCAAUGAGUAUGCUAAAUGAUGGGCGGGGACGAAGCUAGGGCUGGCGAAUUCACAUGUGCGGGAGCAAAUGAGAAAAGAUGGAAUUGUGCAAGAGCUAGGAAGCAAUUUCAGGUUGAUAGUGGUGAAAGAGGGCAGCAACCUCAAGGCAGGCGGCCAAGCGGCAACUCGGUCUCCAUCUCGGUUGGUCGCCAUAAUUUUUUGUUGAUAUCUCCUCUCCGUUAUUAUUCCCUGUCCAUGCCUCCCACUGGUACCUCAGAUGGCAGCUACCAGCGACGGUGGUGAGCUUGCCGACGCUUCGUGCCUGCCGCCGAUCAAGCCACAAAUUGUUUCAUGUGCCCAUCCGCCUGUUACCUUGAAAAUUAUGUUAUCUCUAUUGUCUCUCUAGGAUAUGGAAGGGUGAUUGCUUCCAUUUUACCUGCAAAAAUAGUUAAUCAUUCAUUAUUUUUUCUUGAACUUUAUUGGAGAACUUGACUGAUUGGUGGUGUCCAAUAAGAGUACUUUUUGCUCAGAUUAAUGAAGUAAAUUCCAUUCAAUUGCUGAUUGUUCCUGUUGAUAGUCUGCUGGCUAUAUUAGCAACUAACUAUUCCAUUUUAGUGACUCGUGCUUAAAAUUAUAUUUAACGAACUCCAGCAGCAGAUGUUGGAUAGUUAGCUUUCUUUGCUAGAAUUUUUCAAUGCACUAUUUUAUUUUUACUUCAUGGAUUCAUGAAUGUGGACUUAUCUUAAUGUGAUCUAAUAAGGAUCUUGUCUCUAGGCUAAGGAAACUAGACAUGAACAAAAAGGGCAGGUACUUUUUGGCUAAAACAAUAUUUCUGAAAUGUUCAUGCUUUGCAGUUUGAAAAUGAUGGCAAUUUUGUUGUAAGAUAUUUAUGCUCUUGUUCAUGUCAUAAUAGCAUCCAUUACAGUGCAGUGGCACCAAAAUGCUUAGCAUGGUAGAGUUUUGGAAGCAGUAACAUUGAUAGUUAAAAGGUUCGGAGAUUAUUUUAGGAAUCACUAGCAUUGCUAUAUUAGAAAAUUUGAACAUAUGAAAUAUGGAUUUACCUUUUGUACAAGGUUACAUGCUAGACGAGGAAGUGUAUUAAGUGGAACAUCUUGAAUGCAAGAACCUUGCUUUGCAUAUUUCGAGUAGAUUUCAAUAGCAUAAAUACUCUCAGGUUUCUUACUUAUGAAAGAUUGCAGUGGUCCAGUUACAAUGCAAUGCGAUGAACUAUUUGUGGUUUGUUCUUAACUCGCAGAUUCCCAAUGGUGCUCUUGCUGCCCAUGAAUUAAAGCUACAUAUUUUGCAGAGCAAGUUGUGCAUUGUUCUCCGUCAAUCCAUCAAAUUGGAUAGAUCAAAUAGUUCAGUCCAAUUUGGCAGCUUAUACUUUUAGUUGGUUAAUUAAUGUCGAGCUUGAGACUGAGAUCUCAAUCUCAGGUAAGAAAAUAUGCACCGGGACAGCUACAAAGUUAGAGAGCUUGUAUGCAUUUCUCUCAUUAGCUCAAGAACCCUGGGCCGUUCAAACUUUAUUCAGGAGGACUGGCAUGGAAGAAGCACGGGGGAGGAAAGAUCAUUGAGGUUGAUAAAGCUGAUAUCACAUCCAUGACAUGGAUGAGAAUUCCUAAAUCCUAUCAGCUUAGUGUUGGGACAAGGGAAGGGCUCUGUUACAGGUUCUUUGGCUUCUGUGAACAGGAUGUUAGCGUCCUGACUAACUUCAUACUAAAGAUCAUGGGAAUCACUCCAUUAGUGGGCAUAAUUGGGGUGGAAUUGCAAUAAAUGGGAAUAUGCUUUGCUUUAAUGUCAGUUCAAAGGAAGCAUUUCAAGUCUCUCUAGCAGAUGUGCCGGCAGAGUCAGAUGCAAGGGAAAACAGAUGUCAUCUUAGAUUUCCAUGUCAAUGAUACUACUGGAAAUAAUGAGCUGCUCAAGUCCUCACAUUGUGAUGCCCUAAAAAAAAAAGUCCUCACAUUGUGAUUCAGGACUCCUCCGCUAGGAGCUGAUCCACCAGCACCAAGAUGUGGACCGAUGCCGGCAAAAAGGAUCCAGUGGAGCAUGACCCUCUUCCAUCAAGUACCUACAGGAUGGGAAUGAGGUUGCUAAGAAGUCAUUUGUUACACCACCAAGGUUCUUUAGUGUUGACAAGGCGAGAGAACGCUUGCCUUCAGUGAAAAGGAUCUCUGUAAAUAUUUCAAUCCUGGAGACCAUGUAAAGGUCGUAUCCGGAGUUCAAGAAGGCGCAACAGGCAUGGUUGUUAAUGUGGAAGGGCGUAUUUUGAUCAUUUUAUCAGACACACACUACCAAAGGACAUAUCCGCAUGUUUGCAGAUCAUGUUGUGGAGAGUUCUGAGGUCACCAUAGGGAUUACAAGAAUAGGUGGAGAGGCUGGCAACUGGCGUUGGUCUUAUCUACCAGAUGUUUUGGUGAGCGUCUCCAGGGGAGGGGAUGAGGUCAGAAGACGAUAGAGACGAACUGAUUUUCACUGCAAUGAGGUAGAGUCGGUCAGGCCAAAGAAAAACGAGAAGCUCAAGAUAAUGAACGGGUCCAUGCGUGGAGUCACGGGGAAACUGAUUGGAGUUGAUGGGUCUGUUGGCAUCGUGAGAGUGGAAGGUAGCUUAGACGCGAAAAUAGUAGACAUGGUUAUUCUGGGCAAAGUGGCUGCUUGAGGUGCUGUACAGUCGAUAUUCUUAGUUGAAUAACCAAUCUAACUUAUCGUACUUUAGGCGAGCAGCGGUGCACACGGGGGAGGCAUGGCCAGCGAGCGGUGGAAAACCAUGCGGCAAGCCAGACAUCGCUUGUAGAAGCCCCAGGGAAGAAGGCAACUUCGCCUCCUACUCGGCGAGAGCUAUUUGGAGCGUUAUUCAGUUGGUUUGCAGCGAAUAGAAUGCAAUGCAUUAUUGAAAAAACAAUCGUGUUCGUAGCGAUAUCAUAUUUCGAACAUAUUUUUAUAAUUAUAUACUCAUACAUUUCAUUAUACACUAUCUUAUACAUACCAUUUACCUAUUUUUAUAA